Molecule: ribosomal RNA, 468 nt
Filed under: uncultured bacterium
Lineage: Bacteria
Description: partial 16S ribosomal RNA
Rfam family: Bacterial small subunit ribosomal RNA
Source: RNAcentral
GACGAACGCUGGCGGCGUGCUUAACACAUGCAAGUCGAACGGAAAGGCCCUGCUUUUGUGGGGUGCUCGAGUGGCGAACGGGUGAGUAACACGUGAGUAACCUGCCCUUGACUUUGGGAUAACUUCAGGAAACUGGGGCUAAUACCGGAUAGGAGCUCCUGCUGCAUGGUGGGGGUUGGAAAGUUUCGGCGGUUGGGGAUGGACUCGCGGCUUAUCAGCUUGUUGGUGGGGUAGUGGCUUACCAAGGCUUUGACGGGUAGCCGGCCUGAGAGGGUGACCGGCCACAUUGGGACGUAGAUACGGCCCAGACUCCUACGGGCGGCAGCAGUGGAGAAUAUUGCACAAUGGGCGGAAGCCUGAUGCAGCAACGCCGCGUGCGGGAUGACGGCCUUCGGGUUGUAAACCGCUUUCGCCUGUGACGAAGCGUGAGUGACGGUAAUGGGUAAAGAAGCACCGGCUAACUACGUG